CAGCAGCCGCCGCGGUAAAACGGAGGGUGCAAGCGUUAAUCGGAAUUACUGGGCGUAAAGCGCACGCAGGCGGUUUGUUAAGUCAGAUGUGAAAUCCCCGAGCUCAACCUGGGAACUGCAUUUGUGACUGGCAAGCUAGAGUGUGGCAGAGGGGGGUGGAAUUCCGCGUGUAGCAGUGAAAUGCGUAGAUAUGCGGAGGAACACCGAUGGCGAAGGCAGCCACCUGGGCCAACACUGACGCUCAUGCACGAAAGCGUGGGGAGCAAACAGGAUUAGAUACCCCAGUAGUCCCUGUCUCUUAUAA
Molecule: ribosomal RNA, 304 nt
Filed under: uncultured bacterium
Lineage: Bacteria
Description: partial 16S ribosomal RNA
Rfam family: Bacterial small subunit ribosomal RNA
Source: RNAcentral